UUCAUUGAAAUGAUUAUGCAGUGUGUUUUUUUGAAGAUAUACUUCUUUAGGCGCGUUAUGAAAAAUUGAUGAAAUGAUGAGAGUGAAAUUUUACGAUGCGCGCGCACCGUGACACAAAAUUAACAGAAUGAAGUUGCCCACGGAAGAUGCUAUGGCAUUGGACAUAAUUUAAAAACAACAUUCGAAUAAUAAUAGAAUUUAUGUUACACUUAGGGUGGGUUGUUUCAAACCAUUUGCUAUCGUAACUUACGUUCGUUAAAAUUUGACAGACACGUAUGAACUUUAACGUCUGUUAACUUGUUAGCGUUGCUUCAUUGUUAAAAAAAGAGUUCGUCAUUGUUAAUGGGGUUGCCUGUUUGCGUAACGCUAUUUUGACCUAAUGUUUUAUGGGAAUUUUUUUUAGUAAUAACAACAUUGAUAAAAACAAUGUCAUUUGAAACAUUCUGUCAAGUUUGACAUCGAUGUUUAUUGUUUUGUACGAAAGGAUAGUUAAAAAGUGUUUAAUUUUAAUAUAAAUAAUGGAAACCUUUUCGCCAAAAGAACGUUCGGUAAAUUUGGAAAAGAAGAGGACAGAUUUAGAAAUUUAAUAGUAAAACAUAAACACAUAUUAUUUCAUAAAAAGACAGACAGUACUAACAAUUUUAAAAAAAAAGAGGGCAUGGAGUGCGAUUCAUGCAGAAUUUAAUGCCCUUUCAGAUAAUAAAUAUGAAAAAGAAAUUUUUGAGGUGCGUGUUCAACAUCUAAAUGAGAAGAGGAAGAACGAUGAAAUCAUUUUUAAACUACAAGAAAAAAAAUUACUUACUAUUAAUUAUACUAAAGGGAUGUAAGAUUAUAUGAAACUGCCAUUUCUAAUGUAAACUGUAUGAAAAGUGGUACUUAUUUACCUUUACAAUAAAAAAUAAACUUACUAUAACUUGUUUAUGAUCAGAAUUGCUUGAAACUUAGUAUAAAUGCUCUUCAAAAUAAUUAAAGUUGUGUGUAUAAAUGUUAUAAAAUUUGUGUAAAAAAUAAUAAAAACUGUAAAAAAUAGAUUUUUAAGAUGAAUUAAUUCUUAUGUGCAUAGGCAGGCUUAACUAUGUAAUGUUAUAAUUCGGUAAUAAAAAGGCAUAUUAUUUUU
Pieris napi is the source of this 1117-nucleotide long non-coding RNA. RefSeq lists it as uncharacterized. The transcript is spliced from 2 exons. NCBI's taxonomy places the organism in Eukaryota, Metazoa, Arthropoda, Insecta, Lepidoptera, Pieridae. The record is from RefSeq and is a predicted model, not a curated record.